UGAGAGUUUGAUCCUGGCUCAGAACGAACGCUGGCGGCAGGCUUAACACAUGCAAGUCGAGCGGGCAUAGCAAUAUGUCAGCGGCAGACGGGUGAGUAACGCGUGGGAACGUACCUUUUGGUUCGGAACAACACAGGGAAACUUGUGCUAAUACCGGAUAAGCCCUUACGGGGAAAGAUUUAUCGCCGAAAGAUCGGCCCGCGUCUGAUUAGCUAGUUGGUGAGGUAAAGGCUCACCAAGGCGACGAUCAGUAGCUGGUCUGAGAGGAUGAUCAGCCACAUUGGGACUGAGACACGGCCCAAACUCCUACGGGAGGCAGCAGUGGGGAAUAUUGGACAAUGGGCGAAAGCCUGAUCCAGCAAUGCCGCGUGAGUGAUGAAGGCCUUAGGGUUGUAAAGCUCUUUUACCCGGGAUGAUAAUGACAGUACCGGGAGAAUAAGCUCCGGCUAACUUCGUGCCAGCAGCCGCGGUAAUACGAGGGGAGCUAGCGUUGUUCGGAAUUACUGGGCGUAAAGCGCGCGUAGGCGGUUUUUUAAGUCAGAGGUGAAAGCCCGGGGCUCAACCCCGGAAUAGCCUUUGAAACUGGAAAACUAGAAUCUUGGAGAGGUGAGUGGAAUUCCGAGUGUAGAGGUGAAAUUCGUAGAUAUUCGGAGGAACACCAGUGGCGAAGGCGACACACUGGCUCAUUACUGACGCUGAGGCUCGAAAGCGUGGGGAGCAAACAGGAUUAGAUACCCUGGUAGUCCACGC
Molecule: ribosomal RNA, 750 nt
Filed under: Gloeochaete wittrockiana
Lineage: Eukaryota; Glaucocystophyceae; Gloeochaetales; Gloeochaetaceae
Description: partial Bacterial small subunit ribosomal RNA
Rfam family: Bacterial small subunit ribosomal RNA
Source: RNAcentral